This 109-nucleotide small RNA is filed under the name Streptococcus agalactiae BV3L5. RNAcentral's name for it is "putative Qrr RNA". Lineage: Bacteria; Bacillati; Bacillota; Bacilli; Lactobacillales; Streptococcaceae. The record is from RNAcentral.
AAAACCUUGAUAAACCAAGGUUUUCAAAUCCGUCUACCGCCUUAAAUAUAAAAGAUUUUAUCCAAAGAUAACAAAAAAUCAACGAUCGUUCGUUGAUUUUUUUGUUAUC